UACGUAGGGUGCAAGCGUUAAUCGGAAUUACUGGGCGUAAAGCGUGCGCAGGCGGUUGUGCAGGACAGAUGUGAAAUCCCCGGGCUUAACCUGGGAAUUGCAUUUGUGACUGCACGGCUAGAGUGUGUCAGAGGGGGGUAGAAUUCCACGUGUAGCAGUGAAAUGCGUAGAUAUGUGGAGGAAUACCGAUGGCGAAGGCAGCCCCCUGGGAUAACACUGACGCUCAUGCACGAAAGCGUGGGGAGCAAACAGG
Molecule: ribosomal RNA, 253 nt
Filed under: uncultured bacterium
Lineage: Bacteria
Description: partial 16S ribosomal RNA
Rfam family: Bacterial small subunit ribosomal RNA
Source: RNAcentral